UUUGAUCCUGGCUCAGGAUGAACGCUAGCGACAGGCUUACCCCUUGCAAGUCGAGGGGCAUCAUGAGGUAGCAAUACCUUGAUGGCGACCGGCGCACGGGUGAGUAACGCGUAUGCACCCUGCCCGAUACCGGGGUAUAGCCCAUGGAAACGUGGAUUAACACCCCAUAGUACUUUUAUCCUGCAUGGGAUGUGAGUUAAAUGUUCAAGGUAUCGGAUGGGCAUGCGUCCUAUUAGUUAGUUGGCGGGGUAACAGCCCACCAAGACGAUGAUAGGUAGGGGUUCUGAGAGGAAGGUCCCCCACAUUGGAACUGAGACACGGUCCAAACUCCUACGGGAGGCAGCAGUGAGGAAUAUUGGUCAAUGGACGUAAGUCUGAACCGGCCAAGUCGCGUGAGGGAAGACUGCCCUAUGGGUUGUAAACCUCUUUUAUAAGGGAAGAAUAAGUUCUACGUGUAGAAUGAUGCCUGUACCUUAUGAAUAAGCAUCGGCUAACUCCGUGCCAGCAGCCGCGGUAAUACGGAGGAUGCGAGCGUUAUCCGGAUUUAUUGGGUUUAAAGGGUGCGUAGGCGGUUUAUUAAGUUAGUGGUUAAAUAUUUGAGCUAAACUCAAUUGUGCCAUUAAUACUGGGAAACUGGAGUACAGACGAGGUAGGCGGAAUAAGUUAAGUAGCUGUGAAAUGCAUAGAUAUAACUUAGAACUCCGAUAGCGAAGGCAGCUUACCAGACUGUAACUGACGCUGAUGCACGAGAGCGUGGGUAGCGAACAGGAUUAGAUACCCUGGUAGUCCACGCCGUAAACGAUGCUCACUGGUUCUGUGCGAUAUAUUGUACGGGAUUAAGCGAAAGUAUUAAGUGAGCCACCUGGGGAGUACGUCGGCAACGA
RNAcentral lists this ribosomal RNA (884 nucleotides) under uncultured Bacteroidota bacterium. RNAcentral describes it as "bacterial SSU rRNA". It matches the Rfam family "Bacterial small subunit ribosomal RNA", at positions 12 to 894 of the family's 1533-position model. Lineage: Bacteria; Pseudomonadati; Bacteroidota. The record is from RNAcentral.